This 728-nucleotide unclassified non-coding RNA is filed under the name Hevea brasiliensis (rubber tree). The record is from RNAcentral. Lineage: Eukaryota; Viridiplantae; Streptophyta; Magnoliopsida; Malpighiales; Euphorbiaceae.
CAGAAAUGUAAAUCAAAGUGGGAGCCAUAGAAGAAGAAAAAUAGUUCCACCUGGACAUUUCAACUAAACUACAUACAGUUUAUACAAACUGAUAUAUUACAUGUACACAACUAUCUCCCUCUCUAUAAGACCUACUUGUUCGAUGAACUUGCCUCGCGUGUGGAGAAGUCGUGUUGCCUCAUGUUCGUUUUCUGGCGAGACUUCCCUGACGAGCUUGAAAAAAUGUUGCUAGAUGAAAACUCUGAGCAGCGAAUGAUAACCCCGGGCUUUAUAGUCCAACCCAUUUCACCCAUCUGAAGAGUUUGCCAACUCUGAAUGGCAAUCCAUAGUCUUUGGCUACAGCAGGUUCUCUUUUUGCUGUUUCGGGGUCAGACCAAACGUACACCCCACGCUCCUGACGACUCCCUGGCACAGUGUUGUCGAGGACCACAGCUACCAAGAAUGCUAUCACCAUGUGGAGUGAUAACAAUGUAUUCAAAACGUAGUUUAGCGCUCCAAAGUUUGUGCGGAUUGGACCGUGAGAAGCCACAACAUAUGGUUGAAAAUAACUCGGAACUUGCAAGUUGCUUUUCUGAGUGAUGCCGUACUGUUGGAAAUAGGCUGGUAUAGAUAGCGAUAGGAACAAAGACAGGCCAACUAUGAUAAUGUUCCUCGAGCUUCCUGCUUCACUAUAGCGUAAAUUUGACAAGCCCAAGGCGGUAAGCAUUGUCCACAUAAAGCAUAAUAGG